UACGCCGGAAGUAUUUUUCUUGGCCGCCGGAUGGAAACUGCUGGGGAGUGGAGGGGAGCUAAGCUGAGCGCUGGAAAUAGCCGUUGUGCUUCUCCACGUUAUCGCCUGCCAAACUUUGGUGCUAUUCGCCCUAGUGGCCUAAGAAAGUGCUUAGAAGAUCGGUGUAGAUGUGCUCACUCUUCUAGGAGAAAAGAUUUUUUUAAGCUCCCUCACAAGACUGGAGUCCACAGUUAGCAUUAAGCUCAGCCAACUUUUUAUUGAGCAGCUACAGCGUGUCAGGCUUCUGCCAAGUCCCUUUUGCCAGAGUUUUUCCUGCUUGUAAUGGCCUUUGGUGGGCAGUCAUCUGAAAUGUAACUGAAACAGACGUACUUGAAAAAUAAAAAGCAACUAACAUGUUAAGAUGCAAUACACUGGGGCCGGCCCAGUGGCGCAGUGGUUAAGUGUGCAGAUUGUGCUUCUGGGCGGCCUGGGGUUCCCCGGUUCAGAUCCUGGGUGUGGACAUGGCACCGCUUGGCAAAAGCCAUGCUGUGGUAGGCAUCCCAUGUAUAAAGUAGAGGAAGAUAGGCAUGGAUGUUAGCUCAGGGCCAGUCUUCCUCAGCAAAAAGAGGAGGAUUGGCAGUAGUUAGCUCAGGGCUAAUCUUCCCCCACCCCCAAAAAAACAUGCAAUACACAUACCAUGCAGCAAGAGAUCCUAGCACAUAAAAAGAAUAUCUAUGAAUGAAUGGAGAAAGACUUGAAGCAGGGAGCAGUGUUGAUGGCUGUUACAAGUUUUUAAGUUUUUCUAGGCCUCCCAAGCUUGCGAUGUGGAAUAAAAUCAUUGAAGUUCUUGCCUUAUGGAGCUUGCAUUCUAGUGAGGAGAAAUAGACAAUGAAAUAAAUGAGAUAUUUUAAAACAAUGCUAGGAUGACAAAUAAUGGAGGACAGGAGAAGAAGGAGUUGGGAAGGAAAAGUGCAAGGAUUCAGGAAGGAGGUGAUGAAAACCUGAACUAGGGCAGCAGAUGAGAUAAAUUAAUUGAAAAAUAUUGUUCAAACAUCCCAGUUUGUUUUCAUACAUCUUUUCAAGAAACU
Molecule: long non-coding RNA, 1067 nt
Filed under: Equus asinus (donkey)
Lineage: Eukaryota; Metazoa; Chordata; Mammalia; Perissodactyla; Equidae
Description: lncRNA (ENSEASG00005031342.1)
Source: RNAcentral